GACGAACGCUGGCGGCGUGCUUAACACAUGCAAGUCGAACGGAAAGGCCCUGCUUGCAGGGUACUCGAGUGGCGAACGGGUGAGUAACACGUGGGUGAUCUGCCCUGCACGUCGGGAUAAGCCUGGGAAACUGGGUCUAAUACCGGAUAGGAGCCAUUUUUAGUGUGAUGGUUGGAAAGGUUUUUUCGGUGUAGGAUGAGCUCGCGGCCUAUCAGCUUGUUGGGGGGGGAAUGGUCUACCAAGGCGGCGACGGGUAGCCGGCCUGAGAGGGUGGACGGGCCAAUUGGGGCUGGGAUACGGCCCAGACUCCUACGGGGGGGAGCAGUGGGGAAUAUUGGAGAAUGGGGGCGAGCCUGAUGCAGCGAAGCCGCGUGGGGGAUGACGGCCUUCGGGUUGUAAACUCUUUUCGCUAGGGACGAAGCUUUUUGUGACGGUACCUAGAUAAGAAGCACCGGCUAACUACGUG
Molecule: ribosomal RNA, 466 nt
Filed under: uncultured bacterium
Lineage: Bacteria
Description: partial 16S ribosomal RNA
Rfam family: Bacterial small subunit ribosomal RNA
Source: RNAcentral